UAAUAUCAUGUGAAGAUGACAAACCCAUGUGCCUCUGAGCUGCCAUGACUCUGGCUUCUUAGUCAGUGCUCUGGGGAGGAUGGAGGUAUU
Sciurus carolinensis (gray squirrel) is the source of this 90-nucleotide small nucleolar RNA. RefSeq annotates it as small nucleolar RNA SNORD105. Lineage: Eukaryota; Metazoa; Chordata; Mammalia; Rodentia; Sciuridae. The transcript has a single exon. The record is from RefSeq and is a predicted model, not a curated record.